UCCACGUGCGGCUUCCGCUUCCGCCUUUCUCCGGCGAGCUCGAACCCUCCCAGCCAAUGCAGAGGCCGGGAACCGGGUGACGUCCGCCGUUGCCUGGGCGACGGCGGACGCCGCGCGGCCUUCCUCCGCCCGGCUGCUCACGAACGUUCCAGACUGACGCAGGAUCAAUCACAGACUGCCGUGCUUGCACAAGGACCUUCCUAUUCAAAAGGUAUCUCCAGGUACAUUGAACUUGUCAUUUGAACUACAGUUAAAUUUCUUGAUGGAAACCCUUGGUUCAUUUCACUUCUAAGACAUUGAUUUACAGAAUGAAUCAGUGCAGAUGUCCUUCAGCUAUAUAUAGUUUUAAUUAGAAGAUGGAUUUUGUGCAGCAUAC
Lacerta agilis (Sand lizard) is the source of this 376-nucleotide long non-coding RNA. RefSeq lists it as uncharacterized. NCBI's taxonomy places the organism in Eukaryota, Metazoa, Chordata, Lepidosauria, Squamata, Lacertidae. The transcript is spliced from 3 exons. The record is from RefSeq and is a predicted model, not a curated record.